Molecule: ribosomal RNA, 447 nt
Filed under: uncultured bacterium
Lineage: Bacteria
Description: bacterial SSU rRNA
Rfam family: Bacterial small subunit ribosomal RNA
Source: RNAcentral
CUCCAGACUCCUACGGGAGGCAGCAGUGGGGAAUAUUGGGCAAUGGACGCAAGUCUGACCCAGCAACGCCGCGUGAAGGAAGAAGGCUUUCGGGUUGUAAACUUCUUUUAAGGGGGAAGAGCAGAAGACGGUACCCCUUGAAUAAGCCACGGCUAACUACGUGCCAGCAGCCGCGGUAAUACGUAGGUGGCGAGCGUUGUCCGGAAUUACUGGGUGUAAAGGGAGCGUAGGCGGGAGAGCAAGUCGACUGUGAAAUCUAUGGGCUUAACCCAUAGCUGCGAUCGAAACUGUUCAUCUUGAGUGAAGUAGAGGCAGGCGGAAUUCCUAGUGUAGCGGUGAAAUGCGUAGAUAUUAGGAGGAACACCAGUGGCGAAGGCGGCCUGCUGGACGAUGACUGACGUUGAGGCUCGAAAGCGUGGGGAGCAAACAGGAUUAGAUACCCUAGUA